Molecule: ribosomal RNA, 468 nt
Filed under: uncultured bacterium
Lineage: Bacteria
Description: partial 16S ribosomal RNA
Rfam family: Bacterial small subunit ribosomal RNA
Source: RNAcentral
GACGAACGCUGGCGGCGUGCUUAACACAUGCAAGUCGAACGGAAAGGCCCUGCUUUUGUGGGGUGCUCGAGUGGCGAACGGGUGAGUAACACGUGAGUAACCUGCCCUUGACUUUGGGAUAACUUCAGGAAACUGGGGCUAAUACCGGAUAGGAGCUCCUGCCGCAUGGUGGGGGUUGGAAAGUUUCGGCGAUUGGGGAUGGACUCGCGGCUUAUCAGCUUGUUGGUGGGGUAGUGGCUUACCAAGGCUUUGACGGGUAGCCGGCCUGAGAGGGUGACCGGCCACAUUGGGACUGAGAUACGGCCCAGACUCCUACGGGAGGCAGCAGUGGGGAAUAUUGCACAAUGGGCGGAAGCCUGAUGCAGCAACGCCGCGUGCGGGAUGACGGCCUUCGGGUUGUAAACCGCUUUCGCCUGUGACGAAGCGUGAGUGACGGUAAUGGGUAAAGAAGCACCGGCUAACUACGUG